AGAGGCUGGGGGACGGCCGCUGGCUCUUGCCUUUGGCAAGGGCGGGAGGAAAGUCCGGACGCCAUAGAGCAAGGCACUCCCUAACGGAGAGCGGGGGCAACCCCAGGGAAAGCGCAACAGAAAGCAUACCGCCUACCGCCUGCCGUUAACCCGGCGGGCGCGGUAAGGGUGAAAUGGUGGGGUAAGAGCCCACCGCGGCGGUGGCGACAUCGCUGGCAUGGCAAGCCCUGCCUGGCGCAAGGCCAAAUAGGGAAGCGCGCCUGGCUGAAAGGCCAGGCAUAAGGCGGCUCGUCUUACGCUUCCGGGUAGGCCGCUGGACCGCCCGGCAACGGAGCGGCUAGAGGAAUGGCCGUCAUCGGAACCUUUCGGGGUUCCGGCACAAAAUCCGGCUUACAACCGGCCUCUUCAU
Molecule: RNase P RNA, 409 nt
Filed under: Nitrospinota bacterium
Lineage: Bacteria; Pseudomonadati; Nitrospinota
Description: RNase P RNA component class A
Rfam family: Bacterial RNase P class A
About the family: Ribonuclease P (RNase P) is a ubiquitous endoribonuclease, found in archaea, bacteria and eukarya as well as chloroplasts and mitochondria. Its best characterised activity is the generation of mature 5'-ends of tRNAs by cleaving the 5'-leader elements of precursor-tRNAs.
Source: RNAcentral